UGGGGAAUUUUGCACAAUGGCGGAAACCCUGAUGCAGCGACGCCGCGUGAUUUAGAAGGCCUUCGGGUUGUAAAAAUCUUUUCUAUGGGAAGAAAAUGACAGUACCAUAGGAAUAAGGACCGGCUAAUUACGUGCCAGCAGCCGCGGUAAUACGUAAGGUCCGAGCGUUGUCCGGAAUCAUUGGGCGUAAAGGGUACGUAGGCGGGUAAGCAAGUUAGAAGUGAAAUCCUAUAGCUCAACUAUAGUAAGCUUUUAAAACUGCUCAUCUUGAGGUAUGGAAGGGAAAGUGGAAUUCCUAGUGUAGCGGUGAAAUGCGCAGAUAUUAGGAGGAAUACCGGUUGCGAAGGCGACUUUCUGGCCAUAACCUGACGCUGAGGUACGAAAGCGUGGGUAGCAAACAGG
RNAcentral lists this ribosomal RNA (402 nucleotides) under Fusobacteriota bacterium. RNAcentral describes it as "Fusobacteria bacterium partial 16S ribosomal RNA". It matches the Rfam family "Bacterial small subunit ribosomal RNA", at positions 355 to 776 of the family's 1533-position model. Lineage: Bacteria; Fusobacteriati; Fusobacteriota. The record is from RNAcentral.